GAGGAAAAGCUGGCUUUUACAGCCUUGCUUAUACUGAGGUGGUGCAAACUUCCUACAGCUCUGCACGGUGAGAGAACUUCAAGGUCUUAUCUAUGUCUUACUUCAUUUUGCUAAUGAGCCAGUUAAUAUCUAUAGUAACAGUGCCUAUACAGUAGGAGUCACUAUGUACAUCAAAACAGCUACUGUUGGACAUGCAUAGUCAGAAGAGUUAUUUCAUUUAUACUUUACAUAAGACAAUUCACAUGAGUCAAUAUACUUGUUCUAUUGGUCAUAUUAGAGCUCAUUCCAAACUUCCAGGUCCUUUGGCAUCAGGUAAUACUAAAGUUGAUUAUCUUGUUGCAGCCAACCACAGUUGUCUUCAUAUGACUAUGCUCAAGCUUCUUAUUCCUUCAUCAUCAUAAUGCUUCCACUUUGCAUAAGAAACUUUAUAUUACUUGAGAACAACCUCACCAAACUGUUCAUCAAUACCCUCAUUAUGUGGUUCACACUCCAGUUUCACCCACUGGGGAUAAUCCCUAUGGUUUUUGGCCAAAUCAACUGUGGCAGAAUGAUGUACUUCACAUCCCUCAAUUUGGCAAACAGUUUUAUUUAUGUUCAUAUUAUUAUUGAUACUUGUUCUCAUUUUAUUUUUGCCACUGCUCAUACAGGAGAAAAUACUCAUCAAGUUAUUUCUCAUUGCUGAGCUACUUUUGUGAUGCUGGUCUUCCCUGUACAGAUUAAAACUGAUAAUACUCCAGCUUAUAAUAGUUCUUCUUUUCAACAGUUUUUCAUCAAUUUCAUAUGGAUCACUGAACAGGAAUUUCUUAUAAUCCCCAAGGUCAGGCUAUUGUGGAACGAGCUUAUUUUUCCAUUAAAUUACAAUUACAAAAACAAAAAGAGGGGAAUAGAACUCCACAAAAUUGUUUGAAUCAUGCUAUAUUUGUUUUAAAUUUUUAAAAUUAUGACUGUGAAGGUCUCACUGCCACUGAACAACGUAUCUUCCACUGCAACAGCCCCAUUUGGUGAAAAGACCUAUAAACAGGACAAUGGAAAGGAAAAGAUGUGGUGAUAAUGUGAGGUACAGAUAAUGCUUGUAUUUUUCCAGAAAGUGCAAUUAGUCCCAUUUGGGUACCUGAAUGUGCCAUAUGACAUUGACAUGGAGGACCUGGAGCCAAAGUUUAAAUGACUGAAGAUCAGACCAGAAGUGUCAAUUCUUAUCUCCAGUGAGAACAGAAAGCUGAUAAAGAAGAAGAGGAUGGAUAACAGGACUCCAUGAACCCAGAAGGCCAACAUGCUAACAUGGGGAGAAUGAAGAAUCUGACACAUGAAGCUGAUCAGAUAAUAGAACAACAGAAAGGUUGCCAUACCCUCAGAAGAAGAGAAGAUAUCCGGGAACUCCAAAUAAUAGCAAGUCACUUGUGCUUCAAAAAUUUAAAAGGGGGAGAUGUUGGGAGAUGCAAAUUAAUCAUUGCUUUUAAUUAUGCAAUCCUGGAUAGAGACACCUUUUCUGGUAAUCCUUUAGUACCAGGUUGCCAAGGGAAAAACCUAACUGCAGGUGACAUCUGUUGAUAGGGAGAGUUCUGUGCUUAUCAUGAAAUAUACUAGUUCAAAAUCUUUAAAUUCAAAUCCCAGCUGCUCAGAGGUAGAAGAGAUGGGCAUGAACUGAUAAGCCCUAAGUUGUUUUCCUCACAAACUUCUUUCUGUUUUCCUCAAAGAAGACUUUUCGUAGUGAAUCCCUUUGAUGUUUAAAACCUACAAAAUAAACUCAUGGAGCCUU
This is a non-coding RNA of Ictidomys tridecemlineatus (thirteen-lined ground squirrel), 1756 nucleotides long. The record is from RefSeq and is a predicted model, not a curated record. Lineage: Eukaryota; Metazoa; Chordata; Mammalia; Rodentia; Sciuridae.